AGCAGCCGCGGUAAUUCCAGCUCCAAUAGCGUAUAUUAGUGUUGUUGCGGUUAAAAAGCUCGUAGUUGAAUUUCGGGAUUGGGAUAUAUCGGUCGUGCCUUUAGGGGGGCAUGAAUCGGUGUGUGGCCAAUUCUCAUCUUCUGGUGAAUUGGGAUGCUCUUGGGUGUUUCAAUGAACUAGGACUUUUACUUUGAAAAAAUUAGAGUGUUUAAAGCAGGCAUUUUUGCCUGAAUACAUUAGCAUGGAAUAAUAAAAUAGGACGAUGGUUCUAUUUUGUUGGUUUUAGGACCACGUAAUGAUUAAUAGGGAUAGUUGGGGGCAUUAGUAUUCAAUUGUCAGAGGUGAAAUUCUUGGAUUUAUUGAGGACUAACUACUGCGAAAGCAUUUGCCAAGGAUGUUUUCAUUAAUCAAGAACGAAAGUUAGGGGAUCAAAGACGAUUUAUGUACGUCGUAGUCUUAACCAUAAACUAUGCCGACUAGGAAUCAGACAAAGUUAAUUUUUUAACGACUUGUUUGGUACCUUACG
This 526-nucleotide ribosomal RNA is filed under the name uncultured Entrophosporaceae. RNAcentral describes it as "SSU rRNA". It matches the Rfam family "Eukaryotic small subunit ribosomal RNA", at positions 569 to 1092 of the family's 1831-position model. The record is from RNAcentral. Lineage: Eukaryota; Fungi; Glomeromycota; Glomeromycetes; Entrophosporales; Entrophosporaceae.